This 128-nucleotide ribosomal RNA is filed under the name uncultured eukaryote. RNAcentral's name for it is "partial small subunit ribosomal RNA". It matches the Rfam family "Eukaryotic small subunit ribosomal RNA", at positions 1651 to 1776 of the family's 1831-position model. The record is from RNAcentral.
CCCUGCCUUUUGUACACACCGCCCGUCGCACCUACCGAUUGAAUGGUCCGGUGAAAUCUUCGGACCGCGACAUUUGCUUGUUCACUCAAGACGAUGUCGCGGGAAGUUGAUUAAACCUUACCAUUUAG